AAGGGAUGAAGGCCUCUGGGCUGUAAACCUCUUUUCUCAAGGAAGAAGAUCUGACGGUACUUGAGGAAUAAGCCACGGCUAAUUCCGUGCCAGCAGCCGCGGUAAUACGGGAGUGGCAAGCGUUAUCCGGAAUUAUUGGGCGUAAAGCGUCCGCAGGCGGCCCUUCAAGUCUGCUGUUAAAACGUGGAGCUUAACUCCAUCAUGGCAGUGGAAACUGUUGGGCUCGAGUGUGGUAGGGGCAGAGGGAAUUCCCGGUGUAGCGGUGAAAUGCGUAGAUAUCGGGAAGAACACCAGUGGCGAAGGCGCUCUGCUGGGCCAUAACUGACGCUCAUGGACGAAAGCCAGGGGAGCGAAAGGGAUUAGAUACCCCUGUAGUCCUGGCCGUAAACGAUGAACACUAGGUGUCGGGGGAAUCGACCC
This 420-nucleotide ribosomal RNA is filed under the name Synechococcus sp. KUAC 3046. RNAcentral describes it as "bacterial SSU rRNA". It matches the Rfam family "Bacterial small subunit ribosomal RNA", at positions 403 to 838 of the family's 1533-position model. Lineage: Bacteria; Bacillati; Cyanobacteriota; Cyanophyceae; Synechococcales; Synechococcaceae. The record is from RNAcentral.